Molecule: long non-coding RNA, 940 nt
Organism: Pieris brassicae (large cabbage white)
Lineage: Eukaryota; Metazoa; Arthropoda; Insecta; Lepidoptera; Pieridae
Exons: 4
Source: RefSeq, a predicted model, not a curated record
UGAAAAUGCUUAUAAAUGGUUGUGUCUCGCAUGGUUAUUGUACGAAGUAAUAAUCACCUAUUUUCCAUAAAAAUGGUAGCAUUGUAAUAAUUGUCUAUUGUGUAUUCGGACCUUGGAUAAGUAGGACCUGCACCAAUUGGUAUAUACGAAUAUGUGCGCAAACGUCACUUAAGGAAAGGGCAUUAAGAGGUAUUGUACAAUACAUAUAUAAGGCUUAUUUUACGAUCUGAAAUAAGGGAUUUCGAUUUGGCUCACCUAUAGUAUACAUAUAUUGGGAAUUUUUAAGUACACUGUAAACUUCAUGCAAUGUCACUCGAUUAAACAUCGAAAUGUCUAAACAUUGAAAUUCCUCGACCGAGUUUGGAUAGGGGCAACCGAGCCUAGCCAAUGGGAUGCCCAAAAAAAGGUCAGCCACCAAAUGUGCCGGACCGAGGAAGACUUACAGCCAUCAAGGUGAUGCGGAUGAAAUUUUUAUUUCAGAGAGAGAUCAAACCAAACUACUCUUCAGAACUCUCUCCAGAGAACACUUUGUACGUUAGAAUAAGCAAAGAGUCUCAAUGUCUCUGCGUAGAGAGAGAGAAUCAAGCCGAUCAGUAUAACGUUCGAGAUUGACAAUUCCACAAGCCCUUCACUGAAGUUCAAAGAAGAACCGAAACUCUUCGAAAAAAAAUCUUUUACUGCUUGUAGAGUAGCUACGUUGUUAAUUAUGUUUGUAAUCCAUGAUUAUUUGAACUACAACUAUAUAAAUUGAACCAUUGUUUUCGCAUGGUUGAGUAACGAACAGUUCAUCUCAAGUGCCGUUCGGGUUUCCUCUACGAUAAAUUAUACUUUUUCAAACGCUGACACGUCAAUAAGUUCUAACGGAUCACUCGAAGUAAUAAUUACAGACUUCGUCGAAUGGCGGCUUCCUUGUUUAUAAGUCAGAACGUAUUGGGAAACA